AUGGAGGCGUCGCUGACCGCGGCCGCCGCCGCUACCUCGUCGUUUCCGCCGCAAAUCCGUCGCCGAAUCAUCAAAUUCAACCCGCCCGUGCUCCCUAGGCGACCCCAAUUCCGAGACUCCAAGAUCUGGACCGCCAACUUCCGGGGACACCUGGCUGCGGCCUCGGCAUCCACGCCGCCGCCGCCGGGAGGCGGCCUGUACUCGGCGGUGACCUACGAACUGACGCCAGGUAACGUCGACCGCGUCCUCGACGACGUGCGCCCCUACCUCAUCUCCGACGGCGGCGACGUCGCCGUCGUGUCCGUCGAGGACGGCGUCGUCUCCCUUAGGCUUGAAGGGGCGUGCAGCAGUUGUCCAAGCUCGACGACGACGAUGAACAUGGGCAUCGAGCGAGUGCUCAAGGAGAAGUUCGGUGACGCCAUCAAGGACAUCCGCCAGGUGUUCGACGGGGACCAGCAGCCGGAGGAGACAACGCCUGAGGUAGAGGAGCUGCCACCACCAGAGCAAUCUCAAUCUCGUAUUUUUGCCUUGAAAGGCUUGAGAAACAGUGUGAUCUUACAGCGUUCUUGGGAUGGAUGUUGCUUGCAGGCGGUGAACCGGCACCUGGACAUACUGCGGCCGGCGAUCGCGAACUACGGCGGGAGUGUGAAGGUUCUUGCCGUUGACGGCGAGGACUGCCUGGUUAAGUAUGACGGCCCAGAGUCCAUCGGAAGUGGAGUGAAGGCAGCCAUCAAGGAGAAGUUCCCCGACAUCACGAAUGUGGUGUUCACCCAGUGA
This 777-nucleotide ribosomal RNA is filed under the name Triticum aestivum (bread wheat). RNAcentral's name for it is "partial small subunit ribosomal RNA". Lineage: Eukaryota; Viridiplantae; Streptophyta; Magnoliopsida; Poales; Poaceae. The record is from RNAcentral.